Pelobates cultripes (western spadefoot toad) is the source of this 3780-nucleotide non-coding RNA. NCBI's taxonomy places the organism in Eukaryota, Metazoa, Chordata, Amphibia, Anura, Pelobatidae. The record is from the annotation of a GenBank genome assembly.
CUACUUUUAUGACACACAGCACCUGUUUAACAGACACGAUGUUGGUGAAAUGCCUUUUACUAUACCUUGCUGCAGUAGGUGAGUCUUUUGAUUUGUAGCCUGCUGGUUAUUGAAUACCUUAUCUAUUAUAUGCAGAAUAUAUCUAUAGUAUUGUAGAAUUGGUGGGAUACAUAGUACUCACUUCCAGGUAGUGUGAUAAAAGGUGAGGUGUGUAUAUAUUCAUAAAUUCUUAUACUGUACAACAGUGCAAUACAAGACUAUUGUUUGUGGGAAUCCUGAAUGAAAAGGUAGAAAAAUAAAAACUAAUUUCAGACAUCCAAAUAUAAUGCAUUUAGAAAGAGUAAGUCGUACUUGCAAAAAGACACCUAAUAAUAUCAAAUUCUGUAUAAAGUGCAGUCAAAGGUAUGUGAUUGCUUGAAAGUUGACAGAUUUGGAAUGAGCAAAUUGUUGUGACAAAUUUCAGUUUCUCACAUUAGUUGGACCAAUGACGAUCUAUCUGGUCCAUUUAUGUUCUUUGCUGACAUGGAAGAUCCAAUUUAAAACCACUCUAAAGAGUCUUAUUAAUCCUAAAUGAGUAGAACAUUCAAUUGUCAGAGAAUGGAAAAUGUAAGCACCCAGGAAAGACACAGCUUGCACUCCACUUGAGCUAUGGUUUUAAUGUGUUUAUGACCUUCCAAUUGGCUAGCAUAGCGCAAGUGUAGACUACACUAGUAGAGUGUAGGAUGUAUAAAAUCUGGCGCCAAUUAUUGAUUAAUAAUCGUUAGACUCAGGGUUAGAUCCGAGAUUUAUAUAUUUCUUGCCUUAGUGAAUAAAUCAAAUUAACAAUAUAUGUGCUAAAUGUCAUAUAUGAACAUUCGGGGACUACCAUUCAUCAUCACAACCUGUUCUAUAUGAUUUUCAGGACUCUGUAGGGGUUAAUUAUAAAAUUUCCGUGAUAUAAAUGCAGUGAUUUUUUAUGCCACUGACUUUAGUUUCCACGGUGAUUGCCCCACUACUACAACACUGAACUUCAUUAAUAUUAUCACACUCUGAUAAAUCUCUGUAUGUAUGUAAUUUCUAACUAAUCUUUAUUAACUGAUGAAUGCUCCCAAGCCUGUAGAUUUAGUGUUCCUGAACUAAGUCUGCCUUAAAGUGAGGUCUGUGUGUUCAUUUAUUGACCAAGAGAAGUCAUGAUUACUGCUUAAAAAAAAUAUUUCUGCAUUUAAUAGCACUUAUAAAUAGAGAAUAAAUCAUGAUUUGGUUCACUUAUUCAUGUAAAAAAGGGAGUAAAUUAAUAUAGCGGUUAAGAAGAAUGGAAUCUGUGAGAGUUGCUCUGUGUAUUGUAUCACCUCUAUUACUGUAUUGUAAUUGGUUGUUUUGCAUACCAGAGAACAAGUUACCUGCAACAUUGUGCAUAUUUGGGAUAGUUGUGGCGGGUCUCCUGUACAGAAGUAGACUUGAAAGCGGAUGUGUCAGUGCUGAAAUCAAAUAACUAUCUAUCAGGAAGUCAUUUUCCUGGCACUCUGCUAUUUAUAUCAGAACAUUAUGGUUGUACAGAAGAUUCCAGUGUAGAUUGAUGUGGCAAGAUUGUCUUUAGUACAAUAUAACAUAUUAUGGACUAAACUAUGGCUUACUUCGUUUGCUAGUACAUUUUCACAACACAAUCAGAUAAUUAUACAUAAAUAUAGGUUAUUAUAUAAUGACUAGCACUUAGCCUAUCUAACCUACAAUAAUAUAUUAAAAUGAAAUAAAAUGCAUGGUAAAAUAUGAAAAAUUAUUUUUGUCAUUAUAAAACAUGGUGACAAAAGGUGUUAAGUUUUUGUUCAUUUUCCUUGUGUCCAUGUCUAAUGUUGGGGGAUUUUUUUUGUAAUUCUUUUGAAUUACAACAUAGUUAUUUAAGGGGAAAUUUCUGCUAUUUGGCUUACUUGCUAAAAUAAAGAUUAUGGUUGGGGAUAUUUUGCUGUGCAAAUCUAAUAUAUGUGGAAUUCAAUUAGUAAAUGCAAUAUAGAGACAUAAAGUAAGCUAAAAGUAAAUAUAUAAAGGUAUGUUGCAUAGUAUAUAUGUAUAUUAUAACAUCACUAUUGGACUCUAAACUGGGUUAGUUAAAACCAAAAUGAAAAUGUUUUGAAUGCAAUAACUAGAAAAUGGAACACUUUAUUUGUUAGACUCUGGGUAUAGCCGUAUACAGUGUUAUUGCGGUACAAUAAUGCAUUUCAUAAAACAUUAUAAUGCUGAAAAAGUUAAUUUAGAAGAACACAGUGUUUAGCUGCUGCUUCUAAGCACUUUACGUGUUUUGAACCUAUGUGCACUAUAUACAUAAUGGAGAUCCGUUCGUUUUUAAUAUAAGCCCAGUGUUUGAUAGACAUUUUAUUUUUUCUUCAUAUUUGUUUUGACAAAUAUAUUUUAUAUAAUAUAAUAUAAUUUGAGAGAAUGCAGAUAGUAUAGAUUGGAGGAAAGAUGAAACCGGGGGGAUAUCACAGAAACAUUUAAAUACAUAAUGGGAAUCAACACAGUAAAGGAGGAGACUAUAUUUAAAAGAAGGAAAAACUACCACAACAAGGGGACAUAGUCUUAAAUUAGAGGGGCAAAGGUUUAAAAAUAAUAUCAGGAAGUUUUACUUUAUUGUGAGGGUAGCUGAUGCAUGGAAUAGCCGUCCAGCUUAAAUGGUAGAGGUUAACACAGUAAUGGAGUUUAAGUAUGCGUGGGAUAGACAUAAGGCUAUCCUAACUAUAAGAUAAUGCCAGGGACUAAUGAAAGUAUUUAGAAAAUUGGGCAGACUAGAUGGGCCGAAUGGUUCUUAUCUGCCGUCACAUUCUAUGUUUCUAUAACUAGAAAUUGUGGAAGGUGCCUUAUUAGUACACUAGUAAUGCACAUUAAAGGUUCUGUUAAAAAUAACACUUCUACCCAUCUAUGCAUAUAGCAACAUGGUGACAAGAUCAGCAAACCCUGUUCAAGGGUGUUAAGAUGAACCUUUAAGAAAUAGAAACUACUCAUUGGGAAAGGUUCUGCUGAAGGGCCAUAUCUUCAUAAAAGUAUGUUUACUUUGUAGCUGGUAUAAUUGGUUUUAGUUGUAGUCAAAUUGGCUGUUCUGUAUACACACGGUGUGGGGGGGGGGGAGAGGGGAGGCAGAGGUAGAGUGAGCAGUUAAUUGCAUAACGUAUAUGACUGUACUUUAAAUUCCACCAGGUAGGGCAGGGGUUGUGUAAUAUAUAGUGUGAGAAUGAACAGUUGAAGGCUUGUAACAGGGUUGAGGUGGUCUGUAGACAGUAUAAUAACAUUUGGUUCUGUUUGAGAUUGGUGGGAAUUACACUCCCAGGCAGGAGGUAAUAUUUGCACCUACUGUUAUUAAUUCAUUCCUUCUUCCAUAUAUGAUGUGCUGGGCAAAAUUAAGGAGAGAGAGAAUUUUGCUUCUGCGUCCUUGACACAUUUCUCACCUUCAGCAUCUUAUCAGAGGAGGGAUUAAAAUCGGCAACUGCUGCAAUUAUCAUCUCCUGCCCAGGAUCUUAACUUUCACUAGUCUCAGACAGGCCAGGCGAUGUAUGUCCUGCUGCUGUUAUGAGAUUAGGGGCCUCCUCACUUAACAGUAUACAAUAUAGAAUAAUGCUCAAUUACUAAACAAGUAUCAUAAUGAUAAUUCAGGCAUGUUUACUCUCCUAGUGACGCAGGUCCUCUCCUUCCCAGAUCCACCUUCUUUGGUAUCACCAAACGUGCACACGCGGACUAAGAGAUGUUCCUGUAGAAACUGGUUGGACAAGGAGUGUAUAUACUUUUGCCACCUGGAUAUUAUUUGGGUGAACACUG